GNAUUUAUUGGGCGUAAAGCGAGCGCAGGCGGUUAGAUAANUCUGAAGUUAAAGGCUGUGGCUUAACCAUAGUACGCUUUGGAANCUGUUUAACUUGAGUGCAGAAGGGGAGAGUGGAAUNCCAUGUGUAGCGGUGAAAUGCGUAGAUAUAUGGAGGAACACCGGUGGCGAAAGCGGCUCUCCGGUCUGUAACUGACGCUGAGGCUNGAAAGCGUGGGGAGCGAACAGGAUUAGAUACCCUGGUAGUNCACGCCGUAAACGAUGAGUGCUAGGUGUUAGGCCCUUUCCGGGGCUUAGUGCCGCAGCUAACGCAUUAAGCACUCCGCCUGGGGAGUACGACCGCAAGGUUGAAACUCAAAGGAAUUGACGGGGGCCCGCACAAGCUGUGGAGCAUGUGGUUUAAUUCGAAGCAACGCGAAGAACCUUACCAGGUCUUGACAUCCCGAUGCCCGCUCUAGAGAUAGAGUUUUACUUCGGUACAUCGGUGACAGGUGGUGCAUGGUUGUCGUCAGCUCGUGUCGUGAGAUGUUGGGUUAAGUCCCGCAACGAGCGCAACCCUUAUUGUUAGUUGCCAUCAUUCAGUUGGGCACUCUAGCGAGACUGCCGGUAAUAAACCGGAGGAAGGUGGGGAUGACGUCAAAUCAUCAUGCCCCUUAUGACCUGGGCUACACACGUGCUACAAUGGCUGUACAACGAGUCGCAAGUCGGUGACGGCAAGCUAAUCUCUUAAAGCCAGUCUCAGUUCGGAUUGUAGGCUGCAACUCGCCUACAUGAAGUCGGAAUCGCUAGUAAUCGCGGAUCAGCACGCCGCGGUGAAUACGUUCCCGGGCCUUGUACACACCGCCCGUCACACCACGAGAGUUUGUAACACCCGAAGUCGGUGAGGUANCCUUUUAGGAGCCAGCCGC
RNAcentral lists this ribosomal RNA (908 nucleotides) under uncultured bacterium. RNAcentral describes it as "bacterial SSU rRNA". It matches the Rfam family "Bacterial small subunit ribosomal RNA", at positions 547 to 1456 of the family's 1533-position model. The record is from RNAcentral.